UGCAAGUCGAACGGUAACAGAACUAGCUUGCUAGUUGCUGACGAGUGGCGGACGGGUGAGUAAUACUUAGGGAUCUGCCUCUGUGUGGGGGAUAACUAUUGGAAACGAUAGCUAAUACCGCAUAACGUCUACGGACCAAAGAGGGCUUCGGCUCUCGCGCAGAGAGGAACCUAAGCGAGAUUAGCUUGUUGGUGAGGUAAAGGCUCACCAAGGCGACGAUCUCUAGCUGUUCUGAGAGGAAGAUCAGCCACACUGGAACUGAGACACGGUCCAGACUCCUACGGGAGGCAGCAGUGGGGAAUAUUGCACAAUGGGGGCAACCCUGAUGCAGCCAUGCCGCGUGUGUGAAGAAGGCCUUCGGGUUGUAAAGCACUUUCAGUUGUGAGGAAAGGUUAGUAGUUAAUACCUGCUAGCUGUGACGUUAACAACAGAAGAAGCACCGGCUAACUCCGUGCCAGCAGCCGCGGUAAUACGGAGGGUGCGAGCGUUAAUCGGAAUUACUGGGCGUAAAGCGCACGCAGGCGGUCUGUUAAGCUAGAUGUGAAAGCCCCGCGCUCAACGUGGGAGGGUCAUUUAGAACUGGCAGACUAGAGUCUUG
This 598-nucleotide ribosomal RNA is filed under the name uncultured bacterium. RNAcentral describes it as "bacterial SSU rRNA". It matches the Rfam family "Bacterial small subunit ribosomal RNA", at positions 56 to 651 of the family's 1533-position model. The record is from RNAcentral.